UGGGGAAUUUUGGACAAUGGGCGAAAGCCUGAUCCAGCAAUGCCGCGUGUGUGAAGAAGGCCUUCGGGUUGUAAAGCACUUUUGUCCGGAAAGAAAUCCUUGGCUCUAAUACAGUCGGGGGAUGACGGUACCGGAAGAAUAAGCACCGGCUAACUACGUGCCAGCAGCCGCGGUAAUACGUAGGGUGCAAGCGUUAAUCGGAAUUACUGGGCGUAAAGCGUGCGCAGGCGGUUUGCUAAGACCGAUGUGAAAUCCCCGGGCUCAACCUGGGAACUGCAUUGGUGACUGGCAGGCUAGAGUAUGGCAGAGGGGGGUAGAAUUCCACGUGUAGCAGUGAAAUGCGUAGAGAUGUGGAGGAAUACCGAUGGCGAAGGCAGCCCCCUGGGCCAAUACUGACGCUCAUGCACGAAAGCGCGGGGAGCAAACAGGAUUAGAUACCCUGGGUAGUCCACGCCCUAAACGAUGUCAACUAGUUGUUGGGGAUUCAUUUCCUUAGUAACGUAGCUAACGCGUGAAGUUGACCGCCUGGGGAGUACGGUCGCAAGAUUAAAACUCAAAUGAAUUGACGGGGU
Molecule: ribosomal RNA, 572 nt
Filed under: uncultured bacterium
Lineage: Bacteria
Description: partial 16S ribosomal RNA
Rfam family: Bacterial small subunit ribosomal RNA
Source: RNAcentral